RNAcentral lists this ribosomal RNA (429 nucleotides) under Gemmatimonadota bacterium. RNAcentral's name for it is "Gemmatimonadetes bacterium partial 16S ribosomal RNA". It matches the Rfam family "Bacterial small subunit ribosomal RNA", at positions 355 to 776 of the family's 1533-position model. The record is from RNAcentral. Lineage: Bacteria; Pseudomonadati; Gemmatimonadota.
UAGGGAAUCUUCGGCAAUGGACGAAAGUCUGACCGAGCAACGCCGCGUGAGUGAAGAAGGUUUUCGGAUCGUAAAACUCUGUUGUUAGAGAAGAACAAGGACGUUAGUGACUGAACGUCCCCUGACGGUAUCUAACCAGAAAGCCACGGCUAACUACGUGCCAGCAGCCGCGGUAAUACGUAGGUGGCAAGCGUUGUCCGGAUUUAUUGGGCGUAAAGCGAGCGCAGGCGGUUUCUUAAGUCUGAUGUGAAAGCCCCCGGCUCAACCGGGGAGGGUCAUUGGAAACUGGGAGACUUGAGUGCAGAAGAGGAGAGUGGAAUUCCAUGUGUAGCGGUGAAAUGCGUAGAUAUAUGGAGGAACACCAGUGGCGAAGGCGGCUCUCUGGUCUGUAACUGACGCUGAGGCUCGAAAGCGUGGGGAGCAAACAGG